GUGCCAUUUGUUUUGAAUCAGAUGAUUAUUAUUGAUCAUUUGUAGCAUACCAGUUACAGAUGUAUAUUGUUUAGCACUAAGACAAGUCAAUACAGCUUUAAUUCACAAAGUGUAGUAAUCUGAGUGUACUAACCCGAGUGAACUAACCCGAGUGAACUAACCCGAGUGUAUAAAUUCGAGUGUAGUAAUCCGAGUGUAGUAACCCGAGUGUAGUAAUCCGAGUGUACUAACCCGAGUGUACUAACCCGAGUGUACUAACCCGAGUGUAGUAACCCGAGUGUAGUAACCCGAGUGUACUAACCCGAGUGUACUAACCCGAGUGUACUAACCCGAGUGUAGUAACCCGAGUGUAGUAACCCGAGUGUACUAACCCGAGUGUAGUAACCCGAGUGUAGUAACCCGAGUGUAGUAACCCGAGUGUACUAACCCGAGUGUAGUAACCCGAGUGUAGUAACCCGAGUGUAGUAAUCUGAGUGUAGUAACCCGAGUGUAGUAAUCUGAGUGUAGUAAUCUGAGUGUAGUAAUCUGAGUGUAGUAAUCCGAGUGUAGUAACCUGAGUGUAGUAACCUGAGUGUAG
Ictalurus punctatus (channel catfish) is the source of this 577-nucleotide long non-coding RNA. NCBI's taxonomy places the organism in Eukaryota, Metazoa, Chordata, Actinopteri, Siluriformes, Ictaluridae. The record is from Ensembl.